GGGUUGGUCGUCUAAUCGGAGGAUACUGCGCUUGCACCGCAGAGAUCGGGGUGCAACUCCCCGCCGAUCCACCA
Molecule: transfer RNA, 74 nt
Filed under: Chloroflexaceae bacterium
Lineage: Bacteria; Bacillati; Chloroflexota; Chloroflexia; Chloroflexales; Chloroflexaceae
Description: tRNA-Ala
Rfam family: tRNA
About the family: Transfer RNA (tRNA) molecules are approximately 80 nucleotides in length. Their secondary structure includes four short double-helical elements and three loops (D, anti-codon, and T loops).
Source: RNAcentral